GUUGUAGCUUAGUGGUUAAAUCAUCUGCCUUGCAUGCAGAAGGUCCCAGGUUCAAUCACCGCCAUCUCCA
Non-coding RNA from Podarcis lilfordi (Lilford's wall lizard), 70 nucleotides. The record is from the annotation of a GenBank genome assembly. NCBI's taxonomy places the organism in Eukaryota, Metazoa, Chordata, Lepidosauria, Squamata, Lacertidae.